GCUCUUUUUCUGCGAGGAGCAAACGCCCGCCCGCAGCUAAGGUUCAGAAAUUUGCCACACUGUAUCAGAAACAGAUCCAGCCUUCAGCGAGGCCAAGGUCCUGGCGGCGCAGGCCCCAGCUCUGGAGACUUUGCAGCCCACCAGGGGGCCACGGAGGGUGAGGCUCCGGCCAGAGGUCAAGGCUGCCCAGGACGCUGCCAAUGAGCUCUGUCCUGCCACUGGCGGGACGUUAGGAACCCCGCCACCCAAACCGCCCACAUUUCCAUUUCAAAGACCUUCCCACCCCCUGGGCAAAGCCUCCGGAAGCACAAUGGACGUUCCAGGAUGUUGGGACACCAGGCCCAGAGACUGUGUCCCGGAGAGCAGGAGAACAGAGAACCUGGGAUCCCCUGCUCCCCUCAAGAGACUUUUCUGGCUGCAAGCACCUGAAAUUUGCGUGGUCAUCGGUUGGAAACUCCCGCGUUCCCUCCAGGAGAGCUGAGACCGCCAAAUUCGGGCGAGGCGGGUCUUGUGAAAUAAUACACAUGCCAGAUCUUUUAGAAAAGCUUCAGCCGGACUUUAAAAAAAGUCUAGAUGAGUCGUGGAGACUCAGGUUUAAAACGAUUUGAGAAUUUAUCAGCUCCAGUCUCUUCCUUAUACAGCAGGAGCACUGAAGCCCAGAGGCCAACUGGCUUCCUAAGGUCCCAUUUAGAGGAACACAUUGACUUGACUGCUCAGAUGCCUUGACUCCCACCCGGUCCAGUGCUGUUUGUCGUUUCAUGCUUGUGUAGUGAAUGCAAAGACUGUCCCCCCUCCCCCUGCCCUUCGGGUCAUUUCAGGCUGCCCGGUGCAGUGGGAACAGAACGGCGAGGGAAAGAGUGUUCCCCUCU
Molecule: long non-coding RNA, 869 nt
Filed under: Equus caballus (horse)
Lineage: Eukaryota; Metazoa; Chordata; Mammalia; Perissodactyla; Equidae
Description: lncRNA (ENSECAG00000052781.1)
Source: RNAcentral